CCUACGGGGGGCUGCAGUGAGGAAUAUUGGUCAAUGGACGAGAGUCUGAACCAGCCAAGUAGCGUGAAGGAUGACUGCCCAAAGGGUUGUAAACUUCUUUUAUAAAGGAAUAAAACGAGGCACGUGUGCCUUUUUGAAUGUACUUUAUGAAUAAGGAUCGGCUAACUCCGAGCCAGCAGCCGCGGUAAUAAGGAGGAUCCGAGCGUUAUCCGGAUUUAUUGGGUUUAAAGGGUGCGUAGGCUGAAUGCCAAGUCAGCGGUAAAAAUUCGGGGCUCAACCCCGUCGUGCCGUUGAAACUGAUGUUCUUGAUUGGGCGAGAAGUAUGCGGAAUGCGCGGUGUAGCGGUGAACUGCAUAGAUAUCACGCAGAACUCCGAUUGCGAAGGCAGCAUACCGGCGCCCAACUGACGCUGAAGCACGAAAGCGUGGGUAUCGAACAGGAUUAGAUACCCGUGUAGUC
This 459-nucleotide ribosomal RNA is filed under the name uncultured bacterium. Its description in RNAcentral is "partial 16S ribosomal RNA". It matches the Rfam family "Bacterial small subunit ribosomal RNA", at positions 338 to 795 of the family's 1533-position model. The record is from RNAcentral.